This 1239-nucleotide ribosomal RNA is filed under the name Triticum aestivum (bread wheat). Its description in RNAcentral is "partial small subunit ribosomal RNA". Lineage: Eukaryota; Viridiplantae; Streptophyta; Magnoliopsida; Poales; Poaceae. The record is from RNAcentral.
AUGAUCUCGUCGUGCCCCAUCUGCGGCCACCAAGUCCUGACGGCCGAGCUCGAACGGCACGCGAACAGCCACUUCGAUGAUGAUGAGGUUCAGAGGGACAUGGAGUUGGCGCAGUUAGCCAUGGCUGCAGAAUUGAGCACUAGUAAUGUCGUGGAUGUACCUCAACAUAGCAAGCGUCCGUUCCCUAAUGACGAUUCUCUUGCUCAAGGGGCCUCAUCAAGCAUCAUCAGAGGCCCAUCUCCUUAUGAAAAUGUACUGUAUGAACAAAUUUCUUGCUUGGUCGGAGCACAGGUUAGAAGCGAAAUUCAACGAAUUGAAGCUGGCGUUAUGAACUUGUUGAGGAGCUGCCUUGAAUCUGAAGGCGGUUCGUCGACAAGUAUAAUAUCAGGCUAUGUUGACCAUCAUCAGAGUCUUUCAGCCGAAGACAAGGGAUGGGGAUGUGGGUGGAGAAAUAUCCAGAUCAUGAGCUCUCAUUUGUUGAAGCAAAGAGCAGAAACGAGAGAGGUUCUGUUUGGUGGCUGUGGGUUUGUUCCUGACAUCCCUUCACUUCAGAGAUGGCUUGAGAUCGCUUGGGAUAAAGGUUUUGAUGCUGUUGGUGCAAGUCAUUUCGAUGGCAAAAUUUAUGGUGUCAAGAAGUGGAUAGGGGCAUCAGAAUGUGUUACCCUCUUGCGCUCUUUUGGUGUGCGUGCAAGGAUUGUAGAUUUUGAUAGCACAGAAUCAUCGAGCCUGCAAGGUAAGAGCGGGAAACGAGUAUGUGGGCCCAUGGAUAAGUAUUUGAUCAAGACUAAUCCUCCUCCAAGAUCAUCGACUUGUGAACUUAGUCAAGAGGAUGCUGAGAACAUGAGAGGCCAGCAGGUCCUUGUCGACUGGGUAUGGAACUACUUUUCAAGCAAGCGUGCUGAUGUGUUACACAAUUCAAAGAAUGUCAUCAUCAGCGAUAAAACCCCAUUGUAUUUCCAACAUCAAGGUCAUUCGAGGACUAUAGUUGGGAUUCAAAAGCAAAAGGGUAAUCGUGGAUCUCAAGACCGAUAUAACCUUUUGGUAUUAGACCCUGGCCAUAGAACCGCUGAUUUAGAGAGGUCUCUUACAACCAAAAAAGGAUGGCCGAGGCUGUUGAAAAGAGGUGUUCACACCCUCAGGAAACCACAAUAUCAGUUGUGCUACGUGGAUCCUGGAAUUGCUAGUUCAGAAGAAACAGAGCAGCUCAAGACUAUUGACAGUAUCCUGAUCAGGUUCUAG